Molecule: ribosomal RNA, 422 nt
Filed under: uncultured prokaryote
Description: bacterial SSU rRNA
Rfam family: Bacterial small subunit ribosomal RNA
Source: RNAcentral
UUAGGAAUCUUCCACAAUGGGCGCAAGCCUGAUGGAGCGACACUGCAUGAGGGAUGAAGGUUUUCGGAUCGUAAACCUCUGAACCAGGGACGAUAAUGACGGUACCUGGGUAAUAGCACCGGCUAACUCCGUGCCAGCAGCCGCGGUAAUACGGAGGGUGCGAGCGUUAUCCGGAAUCACUGGGCGUAAAGGGCACGUAGGCGGUCUUGUAAGUCCGAUGUUAAAGAGUGGGGCUCAACCCCAUCACGGCGUUGGAUACUGUAAGGCUUGACGACUGGAGAGGAAAGUAGAAUUACCAGUGUAGCGGUGAAAUGCGUAGAUACUGGUAGGAAUACCCAUUGCGAAGGCAGCUUUCUGGACAGUUUGUGACGCUGAGGUGCGAAAGUGUGGGGAGCAAACCGGAUUAGAUACCCCCGUAGUCC